Molecule: long non-coding RNA, 381 nt
Organism: Zea mays
Lineage: Eukaryota; Viridiplantae; Streptophyta; Magnoliopsida; Poales; Poaceae
Exons: 4
Source: RefSeq, a predicted model, not a curated record
UCGGUGGAGUUAAUGCAAAGCUGAGUUGCUGCACGUUGGCUUUCUUCAGAGAUGGCUUCAGCUGGUGUAGCCCCAUCUGGGUACAAAAACAGCAGCAGCACUAGCAUUGGUGCCGAGAAGUUGCAAGAUCAGAUGAACGAGCUAAAGAUUAGAGAUGAUAAGGAAGUUGAAGCAACCAUAAUUAAUGGGAAAGGGACUGAAACUGGGCACAUAAUUGUCACCACUAUGGCAAGAAUGGUCAACCAAAACAGACAGUGAGCUACAUGGCUGAGCGCAUUGUAGGUCAAGGUUCUUUUGGGAUUGUCUUCCAGGCUAAGUGUUUGGAGACGAGUGAGACUGUUGCCAUAAAGAAGGUUCUUCAGGAUAAGCGUUACAAGAACC